RNAcentral lists this ribosomal RNA (303 nucleotides) under uncultured bacterium. RNAcentral describes it as "partial 16S ribosomal RNA". It matches the Rfam family "Bacterial small subunit ribosomal RNA", at positions 507 to 807 of the family's 1533-position model. The record is from RNAcentral.
AGCAGUAGCCACGGUAAUACAGAGGGUGCGAGCGUUAAUCGGAUUUACUGGGCGUAAAGCGUGCGUAGGCGGCUAAUUGAGUCGGAUGUGAAAUCCCCGAGCUUAACUUGGGAAUUGCAUUCGAUACUGGUUAGCUAGAGUGUGGGAGAGGAUGGUAGAAUUCCAGGUGUAGCGGUGAAAUGCGUAGAGAUCUGGAGGAAUACCGAUGGCGAAGGCAGCCAUCUGGCCUAACACUGACGCUGAGGUACGAAAGCAUGGGGAGCAAACAGGAUUAGAUACCCCAGUAGUCCCUGUCUCUUAUAC